RNAcentral lists this ribosomal RNA (470 nucleotides) under Mannophryne olmonae (Bloody Bay poison frog). RNAcentral's name for it is "partial 16S ribosomal RNA". It matches the Rfam family "Bacterial large subunit ribosomal RNA", at positions 1936 to 2564 of the family's 2925-position model. Lineage: Eukaryota; Metazoa; Chordata; Amphibia; Anura; Aromobatidae. The record is from RNAcentral.
GUAUCCUAACCGUGCGAAGGUAGCGUAAUCAUUUGUCCUUUAAAUGAGGACUGGUAUGAACGGCUUCACGAGGGCUGCACUGUCUCCUUUUUCUAAUCAGUUAAACUAAUCUCCCCGUGAAGAAGCGGGGAUUCACCUAUAAGACGAGAAGACCCUAUGGAGCUUUAAACAAUUGUUAACAUUUGCAUUUAAAAACUUUUCUACUACAUAAAGUCCAAGCACUAUGUUUCUAGUUUUAGGUUGGGGUGACCAUGGAGAAAAACCCAUCCUCCAUGUUGAAAGAAAUUUUAUUUCUUAGCAAAAAGUUACAUCUUAAUGCAUCAACAAAUUGACCCUAAUUGACCCAAUAAUUUGAUCAACGAACCAAGUUACCCUAGGGAUAACAGCGCAAUCCACUUCAAGAGCUCUUAUCGACAAGUGGGUUUACGACCUCGAUGUUGGAUCAGGGUAUCCAAGUGGUGCAGCCGCUA